RNAcentral lists this ribosomal RNA (465 nucleotides) under uncultured bacterium. RNAcentral's name for it is "partial 16S ribosomal RNA". It matches the Rfam family "Bacterial small subunit ribosomal RNA", at positions 28 to 507 of the family's 1533-position model. The record is from RNAcentral.
GCCGAACCCUUUCUUCUUUCUUAACACAUGCAAGUCGUACGGUAAGGCCCUUUCUGGGGUCCACGAGUGGCGAACGGGUGAGUAACACGUGAGUAACCUGCCCACAACUUUGGGAUAACGCUAGGAAACUGGUGCUAAUACUGGAUAUGUGCUCCUGCUGCAUGGUGGGGGUUGGAAAGCUCCGGCGGUUGUGGAUGGACUCGCGGCCUAUCAGCUUGUUGGUGGGGUAGUGGCCUACCAAGGCGGCGACGGGUAGCCGGCCUGAGAGGGUGACCGGCCACAUUGGGACUGAGAUACGGCCCAGACUCCUACGGGAGGCAGCAGUGGGGAAUAUUGCACAAUGGGCGCAAGCCUGAUGCAGCAACGCCGCGUGCGGGAUGACGGCCUUCGGGUUGUAAACCGCUUUCAGCAGGGACGAAGCUUUUUGUGACGGUACCUGCAGAAGAAGCACCGGCUAACUACGUG